RNAcentral lists this ribosomal RNA (253 nucleotides) under uncultured bacterium. RNAcentral's name for it is "partial 16S ribosomal RNA". It matches the Rfam family "Bacterial small subunit ribosomal RNA", at positions 524 to 776 of the family's 1533-position model. The record is from RNAcentral.
UACGUAGGGUGCAAGCGUUGUCCGGAAUUAUUGGGCUUAAAGAGCUCGUAGGCGGUUUGUCGCGUCUGCUGUGAAAACUCGGGGCUUAACUCCGGGCCUGCAGUGGGUACGGGCAGACUAGAGUGCGGUAGGGGAGACUGGAAUUCCUGGUGUAGCGGUGAAAUGCGCAGAUAUCAGGAGGAACACCGGUGGCGAAGGCGGGUCUCUGGGCCGUAACUGACGCUGAGGCGCGAAAGCGUGGGGAGCAAACAGG